RNAcentral lists this ribosomal RNA (566 nucleotides) under uncultured bacterium. Its description in RNAcentral is "partial 16S ribosomal RNA". It matches the Rfam family "Bacterial small subunit ribosomal RNA", at positions 355 to 914 of the family's 1533-position model. The record is from RNAcentral.
UGGGGAAUUUUGGACAAUGGGGGAAACCCUGAUCCAGCCAUCCCGCGUGUGCGAUGAAGGCCUUCGGGUUGUAAAGCACUUUUGGCAGGAAAGAAACGUCGCGGGUUAAUACCCCGCGAAACUGACGGUACCUGCAGAAUAAGCACCGGCUAACUACGUGCCAGCAGCCGCGGUAAUACGUAGGGUGCAAGCGUUAAUCGGAAUUACUGGGCGUAAAGCGUGCGCAGGCGGUUCGGAAAGAAAGAUGUGAAAUCCCAGAGCUUAACUUUGGAACUGCAUUUUUAACUACCGGGCUAGAGUGUGUCAGAGGGAGGUGGAACUCCGCGUGUAGCAGUGAAAUGCGUAGAUAUGCGGAGGAACACCGAUGGCGAAGGCAGCCUCCUGGGAUAACACUGACGCUCAUGCACGAAAGCGUGGGGAGCAAACAGGAUUAGAUACCCUGGUAGUCCACGCCCUAAACGAUGUCAACUAGCUGUUGGGGCCUUCGGGCCUUGGUAGCGCAGCUAACGCGUGAAGUUGACCGCCUGGGGAGUACGGUCGCAAGAUUAAAACUCAAAGGAAUUGAC